CAGUCGCCGCGGUAAUACGAAGGGGGCUAGCGUUGCUCGGAAUGACUGGGCGUAAAGGGCGCGUAGGCGGUCACGAUAGUCAGAUGUGAAAUUCCUGGGCUUAACCUGGGGACUGCAUUUGAUACUGUGUGGCUUGAGUGUGGAAGAGGGUCGUGGAAUUCCCAGUGUAGAGGUGAAAUUCGUAGAUAUUCGCAAGAACACCGGUGGCGAAGGCGGCUCACUGGUCCGGAACUGACGCUGAGGCACGACAGCGUGGGGAGCAAACAGGAUUAGAUACCCCCGUAGUCCCUGUCUCUUAUAC
This 301-nucleotide ribosomal RNA is filed under the name uncultured bacterium. RNAcentral describes it as "partial 16S ribosomal RNA". It matches the Rfam family "Bacterial small subunit ribosomal RNA", at positions 509 to 807 of the family's 1533-position model. The record is from RNAcentral.